UUUGAAAAUGAAAGGCAGAAAUAAAUUAGGCUGAGAGUUUAACUUGAGCUCAUGCUCACUCACACAACAUGAAUACUAAAAAAAAGGAAACUUUUCAUAAAACAUCUUAUAGUCUCUUUUCCAUAAGUGUGGCGCGCUACACACCAAUGCACAAGACUUUACUUGAUGCGGCUUUUAGAAUCUCUAGGACUCUGCUGAUCCUUAGGCUCUGAUACCAAUUUUGUA
Molecule: long non-coding RNA, 225 nt
Filed under: Capsicum annuum
Lineage: Eukaryota; Viridiplantae; Streptophyta; Magnoliopsida; Solanales; Solanaceae
Description: long non-coding RNA (CANN_LNC009834)
Source: RNAcentral